GACACGGGGCCGGGGGGUCUCGCUCCACUCUGGGCCUGGUGCCACCUGUGCAACGUCCCCAAACGGCCCAGGGCGAGGUGUGCAUUCAGGCCACCCCGUGUCAAAUGUCCACGAAACGGACCCAGCUCCCCCAAGAGUCUCAAAACACGGCGGCGUAGCACGCGAGCCCGGUCCAUCUUUGCCCUCCGAGGAGAGCAGGCCUGAAGAAAAAGUUAGCUAGUAGUCCUCAUUGCUACUGGCAUUCAUGCUGUGAACUUGAAGGGACCUGCCUAAGGAGGAGUAGAUACUGUGGACAGCAAAGAGGAGAGAUGGAAAGAAACUGGGUCAUUAUGACAUUGUUAAGCUGCUAGAUCCACCGUGGAGCCUGCACAACAGCUGGACUCUUCAUUAAUGUGAGCCACUCCUCCUCUUUAUUAUUUAAGCUAGUUCAAGAUGGUUUGCUUACAAGUUGUGUCUAAUACCAUAUUAAAACAGGUAUCGCUACCUUCUCAA
Non-coding RNA from Callorhinus ursinus (northern fur seal), 492 nucleotides. The record is from RefSeq and is a predicted model, not a curated record. Lineage: Eukaryota; Metazoa; Chordata; Mammalia; Carnivora; Otariidae.